UUUCGCAAUGCCCGAAAGGGUGACGAAGCGACGCCGCGUGUGGGAAGAAGGCCUUCGGGUUGUAAACCACUGUCGGGAGUUAGGAAAUGUAAGGGUGCUAAUAGUAUCCUUACUUGACUAAGGCUCCGGAGGAAGCCACGGCUAACUCUAUGCCAGCAGCCGCGGUAAUACAGAGGCGGCAAGCGUUGUUCGGAAUUAUUGGGCGUAAAGAGCACGUAGGCGGCCUUGUAAGUCAGUUGUGAAAGCCUUCUGCUUAACGGAAGAACAGCAUCUGAUACUGCAAGGCUAGAGUGCGGAAGGGGAGAGUGGAACUUCUGGUGGAGCGGUGAAAUGCGUAGAUAUCAGAAGGAACACCGGCGGCGAAGGCGACUCUCUGGUCCGUAACUGACGCUGAGUGUGCGAAAGCUAGGGGAGCAAACGGGAUUAGAUACCCCGGUAGUCCUAGCCGUAAACGAUGGGCACUAAGUAGAGGGGUUUUA
This 479-nucleotide ribosomal RNA is filed under the name uncultured Planctomycetota bacterium. Its description in RNAcentral is "bacterial SSU rRNA". It matches the Rfam family "Bacterial small subunit ribosomal RNA", at positions 364 to 833 of the family's 1533-position model. Lineage: Bacteria; Pseudomonadati; Planctomycetota. The record is from RNAcentral.